RNAcentral lists this long non-coding RNA (853 nucleotides) under Helianthus annuus (common sunflower). Lineage: Eukaryota; Viridiplantae; Streptophyta; Magnoliopsida; Asterales; Asteraceae. The record is from RNAcentral.
UUUAUUUACAAACUUAUCAUGAGUUCAAUAUGAUUGGUGGCUCGUUAUUGGUUGUCACACGCCUAGCAGGGACACUCUCUAGGUGGUAUUUUGGGGGUGUGACAACUAUAACCCGUGACUCGUAACGACACUACACUCCAAGUGCAAGGCUCGACACAUUUGACCUCAUAGCUCGGACCAGUGUUUACUUGUUUGCUUUAUGUUUCCUGUUAUGCUAUACGUACUAGUGUGCCUAAACUAGAUAGAUACACCUCUCUCUCCUAUCUCAUUCUCGCUACCUUACGGCAUCACACUCAUACUGUGUUUUCUGGUUAUGAAGACAAUGAGUGGACGCGGAAGAGGAAACAUUAACAUGACGCAGGCUCAGUUCACUAACCUGCUCAACACAGUGGCUGCGGCUUUUGCAGCUCACCCUUUAGGUAAGCUCGUUGUUUUAGGAUGUUUAGGUCCUACCGCCACAUCGACUUUUCGCCUCUAAACCUAUACGUUUCGCUUCUCACCCUAUAGGUCAGCAUGCACCUGCGCAACCACCAGUGUGUACUUUCAAAACUUUCAUGGAUUGCAAGCCUCUCCCUUUCAACGGCACUGAGGGUGCCAUAGGUCUUCUGCAUUGGAUUGAGAAAAUUGAAGCUGUUUUUGCUGUUUGCGAGUGUCCCCCUGCGAACUGGGUGAAGUUUGCUACUGCUACGCUUGAAGGAAGCGCGCUUUCUUGGUGGAAGGCGCAGAUUCAGAUGUUUGGUUUGGAAACUGCAAAUGCUACGGCAUGGGAGGAUUUCAAGGAUAUGAUUAAGGACGAAUACUGUCACCGGGAUGACAUCCACAAGCUUGAGAAUGAGUACUAUGAACUCAAGAU